This 477-nucleotide ribosomal RNA is filed under the name uncultured anaerobic ammonium-oxidizing bacterium. RNAcentral's name for it is "bacterial SSU rRNA". It matches the Rfam family "Bacterial small subunit ribosomal RNA", at positions 365 to 832 of the family's 1533-position model. The record is from RNAcentral.
UUCGCAAUGCCCGAAAGGGUGACGAAGCGACGCCGCGUGCGGGAAGAAGGCCUUCGGGUUGUAAACCGCUGUCGGGAGUUAGGAAAUGCAAGGAUGUUAAUAGCGUCUUUGCUUGACUAAGGCUCCGGAGGAAGCCACGGCUAACUCUGUGCCAGCAGCCGCGGUAAUACAGAGGCGGCAAGCGUUGUUCGGAAUUAUUGGGCGUAAAGAGCACGUAGGCGGCUGUGUAAGUCGGUUGUGAAAGCCUUCCGCUCAACGGGAGAACGGCAUCCGAUACUGCAUGGCUCGAGUGCGGGAGGGGAGAGUGGAACUUCUGGUGGAGCGGUGAAAUGCGUAGAUAUCAGAAGGAACACCGGCGGCGAAGGCGACUCCCUGGCCCGUAACUGACGCUGAGUGUGCGAAAGCUAGGGGAGCAAACGGGAUUAGAUACCCCGGUAGUCCUAGCCGUAAACGAUGGGCACUAAGUAGAGGGGUUUU